Molecule: long non-coding RNA, 422 nt
Organism: Beta vulgaris subsp. vulgaris (sugar beet)
Lineage: Eukaryota; Viridiplantae; Streptophyta; Magnoliopsida; Caryophyllales; Amaranthaceae
Exons: 3
Source: RefSeq, a predicted model, not a curated record
CAUAAAUCAAUGAAUAUAAUCUGGUCGUUCAUCCUUGAUCGUGCGGCAAAUAUGAAACAACCUUUUUUUACCAAAAAUUUUCUCUCUCCUCUCUCUCCUUCGUUUAUCUUCUGAAACUCAAAAACUUUCUCUCUCCUCUUUCCUUUCUCCUUCGUUUAUCUUCUGAAACGUUAUUCUCUACACUAGGCUCAAUCUUCUUCUUGUUUUGCGCAACUUUUUCAUCCUCCAUUGAUAAUUUGAAUAACAUUCAGAAAGCUACCUGUGAGGAAAUUGAAUGUUGAUGAAGUUGUUGUUAUAGUUAUAGAUGCUCUUGAAUUUGAACGCUUUGGGAGGCGAUUUCUUUAAGCUCAACACUCUUGUUAUAUUAGAUGUGAAUGAAUCAAGGAUUAAUACCCUAUCUAAACUCGGUGAUUUUAACAAAA